This 107-nucleotide small nuclear RNA is filed under the name Neotoma lepida (desert woodrat). The record is from RNAcentral. Lineage: Eukaryota; Metazoa; Chordata; Mammalia; Rodentia; Cricetidae.
AUGCUUGCUUUGGCAGGAUAUAUACGAAAAUUGGAACAAUACAAAGAUGAUUAGCAUGGCCUUUGUGAAAGGGUGAUACACAAAUUCAUGAAGAAUUCCAUAUGUUU